UUUAUAAUGUACUGUCAAAUAACCGUUUUGACAAUAAUCAGAUUUUUUUUAUCAAGAUCACUAAACAUUAAAACAUUGACUAGUGUCUAGUGUUAACUAUUCAAAAGUGAUAAAAAAGAUAUUAAAUCGCAGUUAGAAGGCAUUAUUAAUUGCAUGCCAAUUUAUGUCUAUAUAGAUAAUUAAAUAAAUAUGGAUUCUAAUAAGAAAACUGUUCACUCUGACAGAAGUGCCAAUUUUGGUGAUGCAGAGAUAAAACUCUUGCUGGAUCUAGUUGUAAGAUUUAAAUCUGUCAUACUAAACCGCAACAUAAAUGCAAAUACAAAUUUGGCUAAAGAAAAAGUAUGGCGACAGAUAGCAAAAUUAUUUAAUAAAGAAAAAAUAAAUGUGCAUAGAAGUUCUGAUAAUUUGAAAACAAAAUGGUUAAAUUUAAAAAGAGAUGCAAAGAGAAUACACAAUAAUUCACCUUGUGAAAUGAAUGAUGUGCAGAAACGAGUAAUCCAGCUAUCAUAUGAGUCAGUCAAUGAUCCCAGUCUUCAAGUAGAAAUCUCGGAACUGGAUUUAUAUGAAGACUCAGAACCCGAGGAGUUAUUAAAUGAUAACACAAAUGAUACAUUUUUGGAUGACAAAGGGAGUUCUUCUCAUUCUGUUUCAGAUAAUGAUGACGAAAAACCGUUGAAGUCGAGGGACCGUUGCUACAAGAAACGAAUUAGAAAGAAGUCAAUGAAUUUUUCAGCACAAGAGUGUAGUCUUCUUUUGAAAUUGGUUAAAGAGGAAAAACAUAAUCUCUUUAAUGUGGGUAUGUCAAGGGAGAUCAUAAGGGAGAAGUAUUUAGCUUGGGAGAGGAUAGCAAAAAGGUUUAAUGCAAUCAGUUGGAAGAAGAGACCAGUUCGAGUAUUAAAAACUAAACUCGAGAAUAUGAGGAGACUUAAUCGACUCAAAAUUAGUUUAAGUACAUCCAACACAGAACAGGAGGAAAAGGAACUGAAUGUGAAAAAAGAGCCAAGUGUAGAGUAUAAUGUAGAUUGCAGUGAGUUCAGCCAGUCCGUGGAUGAAGACCGAAUAAACGAACGAAUAUCAUCACCCAUACUUAAUGAUAUGGACCCGCUCAGAUUUGUUCUCAACUCGGAUUCUGGACUAGGGUCAACCUGUUCUCAAAAUGAUACGGACCUAAUAAAAUUGAAGAUGGAAUUAAUCAACUAUCAAUUAGAAACUGCGAAAACCACUGCUGCUUCACGACAACGCUAGACCACACACUGCGAUACAGAAUGCUACCAAAUUAGAAGGGCUUCAAUUGGAAUGUCUAAGACAUUCACCGUACUCCCCGGACCUUGCUCCAACAGAUAACCAUUUUUUUUUAAAUUUGGAUAACUUCUCGCAAGCUGGAGAGACAGCGCGUAGAAGACGCUAUAAGGGCAGAUAAAGAAGAACAAGAGUCUCGAGCGAUUGAAAAUUCGUUGCGCUUGCGCACAGCGAGGCUUAAAGCUUUAGCUGCUGAAAGGAAAUUAAACGAAGAUCAUCAAAAUCGUUUAGGAUAUACAGAACAAGAAGUAUUAGCGAUGGAAUAUAUAAAAAUUUCUACGAAUGUUACUUAAUAAAUUAUUAUUGUCAAUUUA
This is an RNA transcript of Pieris napi, 1613 nucleotides long. RefSeq lists it as uncharacterized. The record is from RefSeq and is a predicted model, not a curated record. NCBI's taxonomy places the organism in Eukaryota, Metazoa, Arthropoda, Insecta, Lepidoptera, Pieridae. The transcript is spliced from 11 exons.